AAUGCCCUUUACCACAGGAUCACCUAAGGGGCCAGGAAUUUGACACCUGUCAGGCCUUUCAUGACUGAUCUCCUUACUUCCCCUGGGUGAACGUGGAUAGAAAUGCAUGUGAAGCCAUUGAGGGAGGUGGACUGGGAGAAUAGAGAGAAGGGAGGGACUAGUGGUAACCACUGACUGGUGCACAAGUUCAAAAGGAGUACCUAUUAUCAUGUGACUUUACAAACUAAACCACAGAACUUCAAUGGCAGACACCAAUAAACCUUUACCUUUGCUCUGAAGGUUUUGCUUUGAGUUUGUGAGUCAGUUGGGUGACUUCUCAUCUAGACUGGGUUCUCUCAUGUGUUUGGACAACUAGACUGACUGGUGUCUGCUCCGUGUGGUCUCUCAUCAGCCAGCAGACUAGCCUGGACAUGUACCAUGGUAAAGGCAGGGCUCCAGGAAAGCAAGAAAAAGCUGUAAGGCUUACUGAGGACCAGGUUCUGUCACUUCCUCCACAUCCUACUGGCAACAGCAAGUCACAGCCCAACUAGAUUCUAUUUCUUGAUGAAAGAAAUCUCCAAGUCACAUCUCAGGGGACUGGGCAUUGGGACCAGAGAGGGGAGUAAUUUAGGACUGUUUUGCAAUCAAUUUACCACAGGAAGCUUGAAGAAGAGAAGGGGAACAAAGAAGAUUGGUGGAUGUCCAGGCAAGGGACUUUGGAGUUUGAGGUCUUGGCAAUCAAUCACUUUCAACUCCUGCAUUGUAAUUUUCUAUAAUAACUCAUUCCAUAUUUAUUCAAGGAAGGCUUUAAUAAAAAAAAAUGAUCCUUGUUUUUAUAGUCUUAAUCUGUUUGUCAAGAAGCUAGUGGAGAUUCCAUCCCCAAACUGCAUGAUAGCCCUUUGCUAAAAACAGCUUCAAACCACAGAAGAAUGAUGCUGCAAAAGAUAGUAAAA
Pipistrellus kuhlii (Kuhl's pipistrelle) is the source of this 932-nucleotide long non-coding RNA. RefSeq lists it as uncharacterized. The record is from RefSeq and is a predicted model, not a curated record. NCBI's taxonomy places the organism in Eukaryota, Metazoa, Chordata, Mammalia, Chiroptera, Vespertilionidae. The transcript is spliced from 2 exons.